Molecule: transfer RNA, 77 nt
Filed under: Deltaproteobacteria bacterium
Lineage: Bacteria; Pseudomonadati; Myxococcota; Myxococcia
Description: tRNA-Gly
Rfam family: tRNA
About the family: Transfer RNA (tRNA) molecules are approximately 80 nucleotides in length. Their secondary structure includes four short double-helical elements and three loops (D, anti-codon, and T loops).
Source: RNAcentral
GCGGCAGUAGCUCAGUCUGGUAGAGCACCGGCCUUCCAAGCCGACGGUCAGGGGUUCGAAUCCCCUCUGCCGCUCCA